RNAcentral lists this ribosomal RNA (253 nucleotides) under uncultured bacterium. RNAcentral's name for it is "partial 16S ribosomal RNA". It matches the Rfam family "Bacterial small subunit ribosomal RNA", at positions 15 to 266 of the family's 1533-position model. The record is from RNAcentral.
GAUCAUGGCUCAGGAUAAACGCUGGCGGCGUGCUUAACACAUGCAAGUCGAACGAAGUUUUUCUUUCGGGAGGAACUUAGUGGCGGACGGGUGAGUAACGCGUGGGUAACCGUGCCCUGUACAGGGGACGAACAGCUGGAAACGGCUGCUAAUACCGCAUAAGCCCUUAGCACUGCAUGGUGCAUAGGGAAAAGGAGCAAUCCGGUACAGGAUGGACCCGCGUCUGAUUAGCCAGUUGGCAGGGUAACGGCCU